AAAAAACUCGCUUUAUAAUUUUCUCUCGCUCAAGUGCUCGUUCUUUUCUUUCUUGUGACCCCACUCGAUUUUUAUCACUCCUAGCCACCUCUCCAUUUUCUUUCGAGCUCUCGUUUUGUUUAUCUUUAUUUUUUUCUCACAUUCUCACCUCUCAACCUCACUUGAUCAUCAUACACUUGUUGCGGCGUCAUUGGUACAAGCGUAAUAGAUUUUCCACCCAUUUCAAAGCUAUACCAAUUUCUAAACCCAUCAUGCAUAACCCUUCGAUCACAUUGCAAUGGCCUACCCAACAAAAUAUGACCCGCAUCCAUAGGCACCACAUCACACAACACCUAGUCCUUAUAAUUCCCAAUAGAAAAAUUAAUAACUACUUGUUUAUUCACCUUAGCCUCUCCACGGUCAUCUAACCAUUGUAAUUUGUAUGGCCUAGGGUGUUUAAUUGUAGUUAAACAUAAUUUUUCAACCAACCUAGUACUAGCAACGUUUGUACAACAUCCCCCAUCAAUUAUUAACCCACAUACCUUGUUUGCAACAUGGCAUCGGGUAUGGAAGAUGUUUUCCAGUUGUUGCUCAUCUCUUUCCACUUUGAUUUGAGUGUUGAGUGCGCGCAUAACCACAAGUACUUCACCGUCCACCGGAUACUCCACCACUUCACCACCACUAACAUCCUCUAGCUUGGGCAUCCCAUCUCCAUCAUUAUCACUAACCACUUUCCCGUGGGCACUCAAAAUCAUUGCUCUUUUUUAUUAGGACAUUAAGAUGCAAUGUGCCCCUUCCCUAAACAUUUGAAGCACGUAAUGUCCCGACUCCUAGUAUUUUGUGAACCCACCUUGUUUGUAGUAUUGCUAACAACCUCUUUAUUUGCCUUUGGUGCACCGAUUUUAUUGUUUGCCUUUGGUGCACCGAUUUUAUUGUUUGCCAUAGCCACAUCAACCCUUUCUUCUUCCCCUCUAGGCUUCUAAGAUGAAUUAUGACCUGAUGGAGUCCUAGCCGACCCUUCCUCUUCAAUUGCCGCUCCACUUUCAUUGUCACAUGCAACAUGCCUUCAAGUUCUACAUAGUGUUACAAAUCGACCACAUUAGCAAUGUCCCGGUUCAUCCCAUUCAAGAAAUGUGCCAUGGUGGCUUCCCGGUCCUCUUCCACAUUAGCCUGAAUAAUUAAAAUUUCCAUUUCUUUGUGGUAAUCCUCCACACUUCUCGACCAUUGGAACAACCCCUGCAACCGUUGAUAAAGCUCCCUAUGGUAAUGGCUAGGUACAAACCUCUUCCUCAUAACUGCCUUCAACUCAUCCCAUGUUCGGAUUGGUCUCUUCCCAUUCCUCUGCCUUGAAGUGAUCACCUGAUCCCACCAAGUGAUGGCGUAAUCAGUGAACUCCAAAACUGCAAGCUUCACUUUUCUCUCCUCCGAAUAAUUAUAACACUCGAAGAUAAGCUCCAACUUUUUCUCCAAUUCUAGAUAUGCCUCCAUGUCACUCCUACCCUUAAAUGGCGGAAUGGACAUUUUGAUGUUGCCAUACCUCCAUCCAUGUCAUCUCCAUAAUUAUUUCGACCCCGACGUUCAAAUCUGUCUCCUCUAUUCCUCAUUCCACCCAAUUCAACUCCAUUGAACCCAACGUCAUCCACAUCACCACCAUAACGAAAUUCAUCAUGCAAUUCCACCCUCGGUCCCCGCCGUCCCGGUCUCCUAGCAUUAGGCACCUCAACCCGUUGUUCCAUACGCAAAUUGGUAACCAAUGUGUCAAUCCUUUCUAUCCUAUCACCUAUAUCCUUCAACAUUCACUCAAACCUACACAUCACAUCCUCCGGCGUAUUUGUUUGAGCACCAACCCGACUUGAGUUUGACCCUUCACUGCAAGACAUCCUAAAUACUAAUUUUUAUAUGCUUCCCUUUUUAUAUCGCUCGGAAAUCACUCAAUUUAGGCUUUUUCCCUCAAAUAAUCUCACCACUCAGCCUUUUACCUCUCAAUUGCUUCCAGUCAGUGUUCUUAAGAACAAUAGAUGGCUUUAAACUCGUGGAAUAAUAAUUAAUUGUUCAAGACUCAAUAAUCAGGAAGUUAAAGGACUAAGACAAUAAAUAAAAUUUUUGGAGGAACUAAAAAUUAUUUUUUUUGACACGUGAACAGUGACGGCAGUACGGACGUGAACAGUAAAAAAAAUUUUGUGGACUCUUACGAAGUGAAAACGAUUAGGACACUAACACAACAAACGGAAUUGAAUUUUGACUCUAGAUGAACCCGAAAAACAACUUUCAAUUUUUUUAUUUUUAUUUUGACGGAUCUAAAAUAAGACUCAAACGAAGAACAAUGAAGAACACAAGAACGAAAGGAAAACAACGAAACUGACUCAACACAAAUUGAAAGAUAUAACUUCGAACCUGGAGCCUAAGCUCUGAUACCACCUGAUGCGAACCCAGAUAACAACGAACACUAUCGAACCCACACGAGAGUAACACCAAUCCUAAGAACGCCAAUUUGAUUUGAAGUUUACAGAUUUAAUUCCUAAACGAUGAAUUAGGCAACCAACGAUAUAUUAAAUUGAAGACCUCCUAACUACACAAUUUAAGCACCUCACCCAAGGUUGCGAACGCCACAAGAAAUCCCAACUGGAUCCCUUGAUAAGUUCAUAGUCCCGAAGAACAAAGGUUUGGAAACAAAUCGCUUAUCUGAAUUAAUUCUCAAAUCAAAGUCUGUUUAAUAAUGAAAGAUAGAAAAUAAUUUAUACUACCCUAGGAAAUAAAGAAACCACGAAAUUCUAGAGUCUUAAAAUAAUGAAACUUGCCAAAAAUAAGAAAUUGAAUCAAAUUAAAAUUCUUGCAAAAAUUGGAAAUUCGCGUCUUCAGUUUUGCCCAUGUGACCGCAUGGUAGAACUUGGUGCGAUCGCAUGGUUGAAGAUGUUGCCGCCUCUUGAAUUUCAGUAGCCACCUAUGCGACUGCGUGCCUGGGACAUGGUGUGGUCGCAUGGAGUUAUGGUUUGGUCCCUUCUUCAGCCGCUCGAAUCACGUUGUUUCAUAGGCUUCCGGACUUCGACCCUAACACGAAAGUUAUCACUUAGCUCAUGGACUUCAACAUAGGGGUGUCAAAAAAGCUCGGAGGCUCGGGCGGCCCACGGCCUGGCUAGAAAAAAGCCCGAGCCGGCCCAACUCAUGGCUCGGAGCAACCGAGUCGAGGCUUGGGCUGAGCCCCAUUUUGGGGACACGAGCCGAGCCCGAGCUGGCCCGCGAGCUUUUAUUUAAAAAGAGAGAGAGAGAGAGAAGAAAAAGAGGCAGCAAGGUAGAAUUAUAUUAUUAUGCCAAGUUUGUUGCCUUUAAAAAGGCAGUGCCGAGCCGAAAUUUUUUGGCUGAGCAAAAGCUCGGCUUGACUCGAGCUCGUAAAAAGCUCGACCAUUUUAACCGAGCCGAGCUCGGGCCUAAAAGGCUCAGGCUCAGGCUCGGCUCGACUCAACUCGUUGACAUCCCUAUUUCAACAUAGUAUGCUUCGAGCCUCGAUCCAUCAAUUGUACCACUCGUAUUAGCUUUUCAAAGACCCAAUCUUGGUUUAGGUUUCUUCCAAUCAAACUCCAAUGCUUUGUUUCGUUUUGCCGAAACCUGUACCACAUCACCCAGUGCAUAAAAGCUAUAAUUCAGUUGUAGUAGAAUGUACCAUUUUGAUAACACGACAUGUUUUGAGAAUGAUUGUAGAAAUUUCAUCGUCAAAGUGCGAUGUUUAAGGCAUGGUGAAGGAGACGUUGCUGCAAUACAAUCAUAUUUCUCAAAAAUACAAAUAUGUUGUCCUAGUUUAUUUUUUGAAUAUAGACUUGAAUGAAGAGUGUCAAUUCAGAAAUGUGUUUUGGGUAGAUAAAAGAUGUAGAGAAGCGUAUAAGGAAUUUGAAAAUUUUGUGACUUUUGACCACAUAUCUUAUUUCAAAUGAAGAUAUGCCUUUUCGCUCCUUUUGUAAGCUUGAAUCACAAUGGGCAAUCAACUCUAUUGUGUUGUGGUUUGAUUUCAAAUGAAGAUACAGACAUAUUUAUUUGGUUGAACAUGCUCAAUCAUUUUGAAUUGCAAGAUCAUGAUUGGUUGAAUGGACUAUAAUGAGAGAAGUCGUUAGUAUCAUGUUAUUUGAAAACUACAUUCCAUGCUGGUAUGCCAACCACCCAACGGAGCGAAAGUAUGAACGCAUUCUUUGACGGUUAUGUAUAUUCAAAAACAUCAUUAAAGCUUUUUGUGGAGUAGUAGGAGCGGGCGUUCAGAAGUAAAGUGGGGAAGGAAUUUCAAGCUAAAUUUUCAUUCUUGUAAAUGGUUCGAUGUGCCACUACGUAUGAUAUGGAGGAGAGAUGUCAGUAGACUGUACAUGUGAGUCCAACCAUGGAUGAUUUUUUGGUUUCUAUAUUUAAACAAUUAAGAUAUGAGCAGUUGUGUGUUACUUUUAUCAAGAUGGUAGACUUAGUUGUGGCAAGUGAGGAACGGUCCAAGCAUCUCUUGGGAUGGAUUAAAUUCCAAACAAACAGAUUGUCUACGUCGAAAUGUAAUAGAUUGGAAGUGCAAAGAUUUGAAGCUUGGAAUGAUGAAAGCAUAAACAUUCUAGAUCAAAAAUGACAAAAAGCAUAGGUGCACAAAAAAGUCUAUUGAAGACAAAUUUGAAGAAAUCAAAAGGUUGCAAAAAGGUUUAAACGUUUUGUCAUUAGUACUACCUUUUAAUCAUGUAAUCAUUUAAAAAAAAAUUAAUUGACCUUUUCGUUGCAUCAUGUGCGCCUCCUAUCAAAUCCACAGUUUCAAAUAAGUAUAGCAGGCUAAAAGACAUUGUCGCAAACACUACAAAUGUUGAAGAUGUCUAGGUUCAUAACGUAUCAUCUUUACAAGCACCGUAACUUUUUGGGAUGCAAGAGGCGUGGAUGUUAUAGCAAGGUUGUAAUCAAUGUCGGAUCGGGGCUGAGCAAAGCUAAUUUAUGUCUUAUGAAGAAAGUGUGGUCGAUUGGGAGGCUGCUGAAGCAUAAGUAAUGGAACCUAUUGGUUGUUUUUUAUUAUGUUGUCAUUGUAAUUGCAUUAAGCAUCAGUAAUGUUGUUUGAAAUGAUGAAGCACGUUAUAAUAGUUCAUAGUUAACUAGCUUGUUCUCCGGAGACAGGGUGUAAAAUACUUCAUAAAUCUACUUGUUUUCAUAAUUGA
This 5138-nucleotide long non-coding RNA is filed under the name Olea europaea subsp. europaea. Lineage: Eukaryota; Viridiplantae; Streptophyta; Magnoliopsida; Lamiales; Oleaceae. The record is from RNAcentral.